This 23-nucleotide small nuclear RNA is filed under the name Arabidopsis thaliana (thale cress). RNAcentral describes it as "snRNA_03414". The record is from RNAcentral. Lineage: Eukaryota; Viridiplantae; Streptophyta; Magnoliopsida; Brassicales; Brassicaceae.
CUGAUGCCCGCGUCGCGAUAGUA